UGGGGAAUUUUGGACAAUGGGCGAAAGCUUGAUCCAGCAAUGCCGCGUGUGUGAAGAAGGCCUUCGGGUUGUAAAGCACCUUUGUCCGGAAAGAAAUCCUUGGCUCUAAUACAGUCGGGGGAUGACGGUACCGGAAGAAUAAGCACCGGCUAACUACGUGCCAGCAGCCGCGGUAAUACGUAGGGUGCAAGCGUUAAUCGGAAUUACUGGGCGUAAAGCGUGCGCAGGCGGUUUGCUAAGACCGAUGUGAAAUCCCCGGGCUCAACCUGGGAACUGCAUUGGUGACUGGCAGGCUAGAGUAUGGCAGAGGGGGGUAGAAUUCCACGUGUAGCAGUGAAAUGCGUAGAGAUGUGGAGGAAUACCGAUGGCGAAGGCAGCCCCCUGGGCCAAUACUGACGCUCAUGCACGAAAGCGUGGGGGAGCAAAACAGGAUUAGAUACCCUGGUAGUCCACGCCCUAAACGAUGUCAACUAGUUGUUGGGGGAUUCAUUUCCUUAGUAACGUAGCUAACGCGUGAAGUUGACCGCCUGGGGAGUACGGUCGCAAGAUUAAAACUCAAAUGAAUUGACGGGGUCAUAGCUG
Molecule: ribosomal RNA, 582 nt
Filed under: uncultured bacterium
Lineage: Bacteria
Description: partial 16S ribosomal RNA
Rfam family: Bacterial small subunit ribosomal RNA
Source: RNAcentral